AUGGCUUCCUCAAAACACAUCCUUUGGAUUCUCCUUUUCUGGGUGACAGAUGCCCACGGGGACAUUACGAUAACUCAGACUCCGGAGUUCCUCUCUGUGUCUCCCGGGGAGAAAGCCGUUAUCCAGUGCAAAGCCAGUCAGGGUAUUGGUAAGGAAAUCAGCUGGUACCAACAGAAACCCGGACAACGGAUCAAGCUCCUUAUCUACGCCGCUUCCACUCUGGCCUCCGGAGUCCCCCCUCGGUUCAGCGGCAGCGGCUCAGGAAGUGACUAUACGCUCACCAUCAGCGGUGUGGAGGCGGAGGAUGCUGCAGACUAUUACUGUAUGCAUGAUUAUAGUACUCCGCGCACAGUGUUACAGACCCAUACAUAA
Molecule: non-coding RNA, 372 nt
Organism: Tachyglossus aculeatus (Australian echidna)
Lineage: Eukaryota; Metazoa; Chordata; Mammalia; Monotremata; Tachyglossidae
Source: the annotation of a RefSeq genome assembly